RNAcentral lists this ribosomal RNA (410 nucleotides) under uncultured bacterium. RNAcentral describes it as "bacterial SSU rRNA". It matches the Rfam family "Bacterial small subunit ribosomal RNA", at positions 978 to 1387 of the family's 1533-position model. The record is from RNAcentral.
UUUAUCNCCUNCAGAGAACUUUCCAGAGAUGGAUUGGUGCCUUCGGGAACUCUGAGACAGGUGCUGCAUGGCUGUCGUCAGCUCGUGUUGUGAAAUGUUGGGUUAAGUCCCGCAACGAGCGCAACCCUUAUCCUUUGUUGCCAGCGGUUCGGCCGGGAACUCAAAGGAGACUGCCAGUGAUAAACUGGAGGAAGGUGGGGAUGACGUCAAGUCAUCAUGGCCCUUACGAGUAGGGCUACACACGUGCUACAAUGGCGCAUACAAAGAGAAGCGACCUCGCGAGAGCAAGCGGACCUCAUAAAGUGCGUCGUAGUCCGGAUUGGAGUCUGCAACUCGACUCCAUGAAGUCGGAAUCGCUAGUAAUCGUAGAUCAGAAUGCUACGGUGAAUACGUUCCCGGGCCUUGUACAA